GUGUGUUCUUGAGCAGAAACAGAUUGUUUCACGGGAAGGAAACCCAAGUGUGUGAGGCAGAUAUAGAGCGAAGAGAAAACUGCUGUCGCCCACUAAAAUAAUAAUAAUAAAUAUAUAACGUUAAAGGACUAAAACACGAGAUCUACGGCAUCAGUAUCCACAGCACUUCACUUUGAAGUAACAGAGUGUUAUUUGCAGUCUUCUGCCAUGGCUACAAAUAAUGGUUACCCAAUUGACCUCCAACCACAGAAAAAUGCAAUUCAUCCCGCCCCUUCUUAUAACCAGGGACCAGCUAUACCAGGCCCAGGUAAGGGAAUCUGAGGAAAUUUCGAUUUUUUUUUAAUCUUAUCUCCUGUUCUCACUCCUAAUGUUCUUACCUUUGCAAGGUCAAGUGCUCAUGAUGCCAGUUCCACAAAGACCCGCUGGCUGCCCACCAGGAUUGGAGUACCUGACCCAGGUAGAGCUUUUCUGCUGCGUAUGAACAGCACAGUAUGCCACUGUAGGCAGAGAUGGUUUUUUUCUUUCUUCGUGUGUGUGUGAAAUGAGAUAGUGUCUUCUCAGGAAGUGGUGUUUCAGCUUGCAUUGGUUUCCUGGGCUUUGAAAUGAUACAGUAAAUGCCCC
RNAcentral lists this long non-coding RNA (621 nucleotides) under Sinocyclocheilus grahami. RNAcentral's name for it is "lncRNA (ENSSGRG00000005506.1)". Lineage: Eukaryota; Metazoa; Chordata; Actinopteri; Cypriniformes; Cyprinidae. The record is from RNAcentral.